RNAcentral lists this ribosomal RNA (914 nucleotides) under Bacillus sp. BS36-1. RNAcentral's name for it is "bacterial SSU rRNA". It matches the Rfam family "Bacterial small subunit ribosomal RNA", at positions 44 to 934 of the family's 1533-position model. The record is from RNAcentral. Lineage: Bacteria; Bacillati; Bacillota; Bacilli; Caryophanales; Bacillaceae.
GAGGCANUAGCAUGCAGUCGAGCGAAUGGAUUGAGAGCUUGCUCUCAAGAAGUUAGCGGCGGACGGGUGAGUAACACGUGGGUAACCUGCCCAUAAGACUGGGAUAACUCCGGGAAACCGGGGCUAAUACCGGAUAAUAUUUUGAACUGCAUGGUUCGAAAUUGAAAGGCGGCUUCGGCUGUCACUUAUGGAUGGACCCGCGUCGCAUUAGCUAGUUGGUGAGGUAACGGCUCACCAAGGCAACGAUGCGUAGCCGACCUGAGAGGGUGAUCGGCCACACUGGGACUGAGACACGGCCCAGACUCCUACGGGAGGCAGCAGUAGGGAAUCUUCCGCAAUGGACGAAAGUCUGACGGAGCAACGCCGCGUGAGUGAUGAAGGCUUUCGGGUCGUAAAACUCUGUUGUUAGGGAAGAACAAGUGCUAGUUGAAUAAGCUGGCACCUUGACGGUACCUAACCAGAAAGCCACGGCUAACUACGUGCCAGCAGCCGCGGUAAUACGUAGGUGGCAAGCGUUAUCCGGAAUUAUUGGGCGUAAAGCGCGCGCAGGUGGUUUCUUAAGUCUGAUGUGAAAGCCCACGGCUCAACCGUGGAGGGUCAUUGGAAACUGGGAGACUUGAGUGCAGAAGAGGAAAGUGGAAUUCCAUGUGUAGCGGUGAAAUGCGUAGAGAUAUGGGAGGAACACCAGUGGCGAAGGCGACUUUCUGGUCUGUAACUGACACUGAGGCGCGAAAGCGUGGGGGAGCAAACAGGAUUAGAUACCCUGGUAGUCCACGCCGUAAACGAUGAGUGCUAAGUGUUAGAGGGUUUCCGCCCUUUAGUGCUGAAGUUAACGCAUUAAGCACUCCGCCUGGGGAGUACGGCCGCAAGGCUGAAACUCAAAGGAAUUGGACGGGGGCGCCGCACAAGCGGUG